This 515-nucleotide ribosomal RNA is filed under the name uncultured delta proteobacterium. RNAcentral describes it as "bacterial SSU rRNA". It matches the Rfam family "Bacterial small subunit ribosomal RNA", at positions 29 to 523 of the family's 1533-position model. Lineage: Bacteria; Deltaproteobacteria. The record is from RNAcentral.
AACGAACGCUGGCGGCGUGCUUAACACAUGCAAGUCGAACGGAAUAAGGGGCUUGCUCCUUAUUUAGUGGCGCACGGGUGAGUAACACGUGGAUAACCUGCCCUGGAAUCUGGGAUAACAUUUCGAAAGGGGUGCUAAUACCGGAUAAGCCCACGGAAACUUCGGUUUUUGCGGGAAAAGGAGGCCUCUGUAUAUGCUUCCGUUUCAGGAUGGGUCCGCGUCCCAUCAGCUAGUUGGUAGGGUAACGGCCUACCAAGGCGACGACGGGUAGCUGGUCUGAGAGGAUGAUCAGCCACACUGGAACUGAGACACGGUCCAGACUCCUACGGGAGGCAGCAGUGGGGAAUUUUGCGCAAUGGGGGAAACCCUGACGCAGCAACGCCGCGUGGGUGAUGAAGGCCUUUGGGUCGUAAAGCCCUGUCGGAGGGGAAGAAAUGUGUGCGGUUAAUACCCGUUACACUUGACGGUACCCUCAAAGGAAGCACCGGCUAACUCCGUGCCAGCAGCCGCGGUAA